Molecule: long non-coding RNA, 205 nt
Filed under: Mytilus galloprovincialis (Mediterranean mussel)
Lineage: Eukaryota; Metazoa; Mollusca; Bivalvia; Mytilida; Mytilidae
Source: RNAcentral
AAAUUUGGACUGCCACUGGAAAAUGAGGGUAUAUUGGAUAGAGACAGAAAUUUUGCCUUGCAACAGGCCACCUACAGACCCCUCAAAGAGUUGUUGCAAGGGUUCUUAACGUGCAAAGAGCGUGGCACUCUCUUUACACCAGGCAUCGGAUUUAACGUCCCCCUUCUGACCGGACGUGACUGCGAACUUGAUACAUCCCGCACAG